This 109-nucleotide ribosomal RNA is filed under the name Bacillus subtilis. Its description in RNAcentral is "partial 23S ribosomal RNA". It matches the Rfam family "Bacterial large subunit ribosomal RNA", at positions 2820 to 2925 of the family's 2925-position model. Lineage: Bacteria; Bacillati; Bacillota; Bacilli; Caryophanales; Bacillaceae. The record is from RNAcentral.
GCAAGGAAGUAAGAUCCCUGAAAGAUGAUCAGGUUGAUAGGUCUGAGGUGGAAGUGUGGCGACACAUGGAGCUGACAGAUACUAAUCGAUCGAGGACUUAACCACAUUU